This is a long non-coding RNA of Tigriopus californicus, 2231 nucleotides long. RefSeq lists it as uncharacterized. NCBI's taxonomy places the organism in Eukaryota, Metazoa, Arthropoda, Copepoda, Harpacticoida, Harpacticidae. The record is from RefSeq and is a predicted model, not a curated record. The transcript is spliced from 3 exons.
CAAGGUGUAUAUAAACCAGAUCUAUUCGAAUAAUGAAAUAGUCAUCUCAAUAGGGACCUUUAAGCUGAGGUUAAACUCAACCUUUUGAGAAAGAGGGUCACGAAACCUUUUUGUUUUGAUUGCCUUGGGCGGUCACCGGUUACAAAUCACUUUGCCUCAUUUAAGAGCAAAGUUUCUCAGGGCAAUCGUCUUCUAUCUCGACUGGAAUCUUGUGUCAAGUAUUAAUAACAGACUCGAGUUUUUUAUCCUAUAUUAAGAAGAAUGAGCAAGUUCAACCGUCCAAACAUUUCUAUCCAAACCGGAUUUCAGGCAAUAUCCGGCUUCAAUUUCCGCAAAGGAAUUCAGUCUAACGGUGCAGAAAUUCUAGGAAACCUGUUUGACGUUUCUGAACUGCAAAAAGACGGAAAAAGUGUGAUCAAAGGCAAAAUACUUCGGACAACUUCCAUUCGUGAAAGCCCGUUUGAUAUUGAUUUACAAUUGGAUGGAAACCGUCAAAAUGAUAGGGCGAGGUAAGAUUUUACGGAAAUUCUAACCUAGUGCUACUUAGAUAGAUAGAUUUAUUUCAGGAACACUGAUCAUGAUUAAAUAAUGUCGGCAUUUUAUCAUUGCGUUAGCAUCUUGAUACAUCAAAAAUUUCAUGAUCAUGUAAUUCCUCAGGUUCUGGGUAAGCAAAAGCUUGUUUUCACCAGGACCUGGGCAAUUUAACGAAGACAUGACAUAGAUCGUCAAUAAUGUUACAGAGGCCAAGCUGCAACACGAUAACGUGAGUUGGAAGAAUUACAAAAUCAAAUUGAAGGGCUUGUAGGAAAUCAUAUCGGUUUGAAGUUAUAAGAAAAGAAGGGACUAAGAAAAAGAUACAGAAAGAAGAACAUGAAAAACAGAGCAAAGCAAAUAAUUUCAGUGUUAAUUUGUUAUGUUUACUAGAAAAUGUGAGACGACUUCAGGAAUGGGAGGAAAUUAAUAGGUUUAGAAUUGUAUUUGGUGCAUGGAGUGUUUUGAUGAGAUUGAGCGGCUGAUAAUUGUAAUAAAAAAUAAAAAUAAAAAUCAUUUCUUAGGAUUUUUUUUGGCAUACAUAGCAAUUUUUGAGUUUGCACGGAGCAACUUGAACAUAUUACUUGUAGAUGUUCGUGUGUGGCUGGGAUAUCAGGUCAAUGCAAACACACAGCAGCGUUGUAUGAGUUCAUAAACACAGAAACGGAAGAAAGCAAGACUUCAGAGCAACAAACUUGGCAUCGUCCAUCCGAGGUUCUUUUGGCAAAGUAUCCCAAAGGCGAAUCUAUCCUAGAAAUUCUCAGCAACACAUCACUUGAUGUUACUACCUCAGUUCGUACUGAAACACAAGCCAAUCUAACACAGGAGCUACAAAUGUUCGGCCUGAUUUCGAGUUCCUUUUACGUUUGCCUUACUGUCGAUCGAGAACAAGGGCUUACUGAAUAUCCGAAGGCCAAGCAAAAGCCGGAAUUAGAGCAAGUAGUAAAGUCCCUUCUUCACAAUCCUGCCAAGCUUCCGGAACAAUUUCAUUCCGAUAUUAAUCUUUCCGAUAUUAAUCUUUCCAUUGGAGAAUCUCGCUUCUUUAACAAAAAUGUUCUUUGUGACAUGGAAAAGGCGAUCGAACUUAGUGAAGCAUCCCUUGGACAGGCAUAUGCACCUGCGUGGCACAAGUUACGUCGUUUUCGAAUAUCAGCAUUGAGAGCAGGUCCGAUAGGAGGAGCGAAGCAAGAUCACACCUUGUUGAAGUACUUCUUUGAAGAAAAAAGCAGCAACAAACAUAUGCAAUAUGGUCGAGAGACAGAACCUAAGGCCAGAAUGAGGUCUGAGGAUCAAACCGGCAACAAAGUGCUUCAGACGGGUGUCAUUAUAAGUCCAAUCUACCCUUGGUUACGUGUUAGCCCUGAUGGUAUUGCGAUUGACUGAAAUGGAAACCUCAUCGUACUAGAGGUCAAGUGUCCCUUCACCUGUAAGACUGAGCAGAUCUCGAAUUUAAGUUACUUGAAGGAUGGUCAAAUUCGACGAAGUGACAAAUAUUACGCUCAAGUCCAGAUCCAGCUUUUCGUAGCUAAUCUAACCAAGGUUCAUUUUUUCAUCUACACUAGCGUAGAUUCGAAGCUUAUAGAAAUCCCGAGGGAUGAUGAAUACCUGUAGAAUUUGAUAUCUAAAUUAGAAAAUCGAUAUUUUGGAAAGAUCCUACCUGCCCUUUUGUCUAAGAAAUUCUAAAUUAGACUUUAGCUUCU